Non-coding RNA from Callorhinus ursinus (northern fur seal), 484 nucleotides. NCBI's taxonomy places the organism in Eukaryota, Metazoa, Chordata, Mammalia, Carnivora, Otariidae. The record is from RefSeq and is a predicted model, not a curated record.
GGGGGCCGCGAGCCGGGGAGAGGGCACCUCACAGCCGCCCUGGAGCGUCCAGACCUGGCGUGCGACAUGUCCGCCGGGGAAAGCGAAGGAUGGCGGGGCCGAGACAUUUUCCCCGAGCUCUUAAGGGGGCAGGGAGGGUGACAAUUGGCCUUGAGGCGGGCGCGGAAGACGCGGAGGACGCGAGCGGUGGAGUGAGCCAGCUAAACGCCAGGAGAUGAAAAGAUGUCCAGGUGGACGGGAACCUCCAUGGAGGUAAACGUCACUUGGCGGAUCCAGCAAUUCUUGUAGCCAACCGGUGGCUGUGAACCUUCUCCAGUCUCCAAGGACACGCCUCCCGUGCUUCCUUAACUCCAAGCCAAGGGUGAGCCUACUGUCAUCAUCUCACUGACAAUCUUCGUGUGUUUACAUUUAAAGCUGCUGACUGUUAAAACUCUAGCAGUCACAAAUGAAAGUGGGGGCAGGACACGUUUCCACACCUCUGUUG